This 202-nucleotide unclassified non-coding RNA is filed under the name Hevea brasiliensis (rubber tree). Lineage: Eukaryota; Viridiplantae; Streptophyta; Magnoliopsida; Malpighiales; Euphorbiaceae. The record is from RNAcentral.
UGCAUAUGGUCAAGCCAUAAUGUGAGACCAACAAGAGCAGCACCCGCAGACAGCUUCCUGAAGUCCGCCCCCCAAUCCUUGUCAGCCACUCUGCAGAAUAAGAUGAACAUCAAUUAGAUAAAAAUGCAAAAAUAGUAAAGCUUCAAAAAGAGAUUGUCAUGAAAUGCAUGUCACAAUCUUGACGUUCAUGUGAAGAUUUAAG